GCAGUCGAACGAGAAACGGUCUAGCUUGCUAGAUGCAGUCUAAGUGGCGCACGGGUGAGUAAUGUAUAGCUAAUGUGCCCCUUGGAGGGGGAUAACAGUUGGAAACGGCUGCUAAUACCCCAUACUCCUUCAUUCUUAAUGAGUGAAGGGAAAGUUUUUUCGCCAAGGGAUCAGGCUAUAUGGUAUCAGCUAGUUGGUGAGGUAACGGCUCACCAAGGCAAUGACGCCUAACUGGUCUGAGAGGAUGAUCAGUCACACUGGAACUGAGACACGGUCCAGACUCCUACGGGAGGCAGCAGUGGGGAAUAUUACACAAUGGAGGAAACUCUGAUGUAGCAACGCCGCGUGGAGGAUGACACAUUUCGGUGCGUAAACUCCUUUUAUAUGGGAAGAUAAUGACGGUACCAUAUGAAUAAGCACCGGCUAACUCCGUGCCA
Molecule: ribosomal RNA, 437 nt
Filed under: uncultured bacterium
Lineage: Bacteria
Description: bacterial SSU rRNA
Rfam family: Bacterial small subunit ribosomal RNA
Source: RNAcentral